AUUUCAUCACCCUUACUUAAACAACACACACACAUCGACACAUAUGCCGGGGUGCCUUAACGGGUCGGUUAUAUGGGAUGUGUGGAGGCCUAACC
Molecule: small RNA, 95 nt
Filed under: Aeromonas veronii
Lineage: Bacteria; Pseudomonadati; Pseudomonadota; Gammaproteobacteria; Aeromonadales; Aeromonadaceae
Description: t44 RNA
Rfam family: t44 RNA
About the family: This family consists of a number of bacterial RNA genes of between 135 and 170 bases in length.
Source: RNAcentral